RNAcentral lists this ribosomal RNA (465 nucleotides) under uncultured bacterium. RNAcentral's name for it is "partial 16S ribosomal RNA". It matches the Rfam family "Bacterial small subunit ribosomal RNA", at positions 338 to 795 of the family's 1533-position model. The record is from RNAcentral.
CCUACGGGAGGCUGCAGUGGGGAAUUUUGCUCAAUGCUCGUCAGAGUGACGCAGCGACGCCGCGUGAAUGACGCCGGCCCUCUGUUCGUAACGUUCUUUCGACAGGGAAGAAAAUGCCUAUAAGUAACUGUGUAUGUAUUGACGGUACCUGUAUAAGCAGCCCCGGCUAACUCCGUUCCAGCAGCUGGGGUAAUACGGAGGGGGCGAGCGUUGUUCGGAGUUACUGGGCUGAAAGAGCACGCAGGCGGUGUUUUAAGUGUUUAGUCAAAGACUAGAGCUUAAAUUUCGUAAGGCUAGUGAUACUAUACUACUAGAGUAUCAGAGAGGAUUGCAGAAUUCCUGGUGUAGCGGUGAAAUGCGUAGAUAUCAGGAGGAAUACCGUUAGCGAAGGCGGCACUCUGGCUGGAAACUGACGCUGAGGUGCGAAAGCGUGGGUAGCAAACAGGAUUAGAUACCCCUGUAGUC